AUUACUUUUAUAUCCAGGCACACAAUGUCCUUCUGAUGACAGGAUCAUACCAAGUUUACUCGGGGAAAAGUUGACCACAUCCAGAUUGUGAGCUUUCCUAAAUGUUUGGAAGAUAGCAAGUAUUGGAAUGGUGAUUCUGUCAUAGAGGUAGACGCUGUGCUAUAAGAGCAUACAAAGCUUUAUUACUUAUUACAUUUUCAUAUACAGGCACACAAUGUCCUUCUUAUGACAGAAUUAUACCAUAUGUACUUGAAAAGUUGACCACAUCCAGAUUGUGAGUUUUCCUGAGUAUUUGUAAGAGAGCGAUUGUUUGAAUGGUGAUUCUGUGCCAUUAGAAUAUGAAGAGUUUUAUUACUUAUUACCUUUAUAUACAGGCACACAAUGUCCUUCGUAUGACAGAAUCAUACCAGGUUUACUUGGUGAAAAGUUGACCACAUCCAGAUUGUGAGUUUUCCUGAGUGUUUGGAAGAUAGCAAGUAUUGGAAUGGUGAUUUUGUCAUAGAGGUAGAUGCUGUGCCAUUAGAAUAUGCAUAGCUUUUUAUUACUUAUUACUUUUAUAUACAGGCACACAAUGUCCCUCAUAUGACAGAAUCAUACCAGGUUUACUUGGUGAAAAGUUGAACACAUCCAGGACGGGAGUUUUCCUAAUGUUUGGAAGAUAGCAAGUAUUGGAAUGGUGAUUCUGUCAUAGAGGUAGACGCUGUGCCAUUAGCAUAUCCAUAGGUAACGAUAAGUAAAAGGUAGAACCGAAGUCUGUACAGUUAAAAGUAUUUCGACUGUACAUCAAUGAUGUCAGCAGAUUUGUAAUAUCUUGUCAUGCAAAUAUGGAUGUUGGAUGGAGAUGCUGAAUACCUUGAGAAAUGGAAAGAACUAGAGACAUGGUAAAAUAGAAAAUUAACGUACCAUCCAUGAUCAUAUUAGUCUGUUAAAUGACAAUGAAAUGACUGGGUGAAUAUAAUGGUUAUUGCCAACGUCGUGUAAAGGAAAGCAGCUAGAGUGGUGCUUUUUUAUUUAACUGAAUGUCAUUCCUUUCAGUCCUCAAAGUUGAAUACAACCACAACAAUGAUUAUGAAAGAAAUGUAACUAUUGAACGAUGUAAUAAUGCAAAACCGUUACAAAAACUCGUAUAUCUGCUGUAUGUCAUUGAGACUGGAGAUGUUAGGAAAGUUGAAUUUUUUUCGUUAAUUCUAUUAAAGUAAAAUCGCUACGGCUGAA
Long non-coding RNA from Branchiostoma floridae (Florida lancelet), 1215 nucleotides. RefSeq lists it as uncharacterized. The transcript is spliced from 2 exons. Lineage: Eukaryota; Metazoa; Chordata; Leptocardii; Amphioxiformes; Branchiostomatidae. The record is from RefSeq and is a predicted model, not a curated record.